CAAGCAUGAUAGUGCCAGGUGGAGACCCAUGCAGCUACUCUGCCUAAAGUACUGCAUGCCUCUAGGUGGCCGUGAGCGCGGAUCUAAUCCGUAGUGAGCCCAAACGACCACCUGCCAAACCACCAAUGUUCAUGCAACGUGCCAUUGCAAGAGUCCCUCAAACACAAGCUAACACACUGCACAACGCUGGUGAACUAACACUCGAGAGGCUUGGCCUCAAUCUAUACUCUCUGCCCCGAGUUCGACUGUCACUGACAAAUUGCUAAACGAGACUCACACGCUGUAAGAGAUGGAAUAGAUAGGGUAUAUACAAGCAAACAUAAUAGCUAGAGGAGAGAAAACCCUAAAGAUCACAAGAAGUAGAUAUGUAUGGACGAGAAAGACUUACAACAUGUGACAUGACAUGUUCCAAAAGAUAGGAUGAGAUUGGAAGCCACCGGAGAACAUGAAUCAACACUCUAGGGCACUGAAAGGAUAGAACGAAUGAAAUCGUCAUAAAAAACGACACUUAGAUCUAUUCAGGCAUUAAAGUAAACACCUUGAGUGCAAGGGUUAGAGAACCAUACCCAAACAC
Molecule: long non-coding RNA, 574 nt
Filed under: Sorghum bicolor (sorghum)
Lineage: Eukaryota; Viridiplantae; Streptophyta; Magnoliopsida; Poales; Poaceae
Description: long non-coding RNA (SBIC_LNC010364)
Source: RNAcentral